Molecule: long non-coding RNA, 478 nt
Organism: Macrobrachium nipponense
Lineage: Eukaryota; Metazoa; Arthropoda; Malacostraca; Decapoda; Palaemonidae
Exons: 3
Source: RefSeq, a predicted model, not a curated record
GAAGAGUGAAGGAAAUAAACAAAAACAAUCGUGGGUGGGGUCCCCGGGAUAUGGGAAGAGACGACCGUAGGGAUGGGACACCACCACCCCAGCUGAACGACCUUCGAGUUAUUUAAGAAAUAACCUUAGUCAUUCUCUGUACUGUAUCCGACCGUCCAGCAUUACUACGUCAGUACAUACGAGAAACUUGCAUAAAAAACGUAUUGGUUUACUGUAUCAGGGCCAAUUUUCAAGACGUCAUACCUAAACACCAGACCAGUAGUCCAAACCACACAAAAUGAUGUUGACAACAAGUUAUCUGUAUGUGAUCAUCUGAAAUGUAGCUGCAGUGGUGGUGGGUAACAUUAGGCUUGUGCAUUCUGCAAGCUGGUAUUGGCAGAAGAAAGCUGAAAGUCUUUGCAAAAUAUUGCUUCAAAACACAAAUCAUGUCAUCAUCUUUCUUUCAAAGAUAUAAGAGCCACAUACCUGUCCCUAAAGG